GACGAACGCUGGCGGCGUGCUUAACACAUGCAAGUCGAACGGAAAGGCCUUUUCGGUGGUACUCGAGUGGCGAACGGGCGCGUAACACGUGGGUGAUCUGCCCUGCACUCUGGGAUAAGCCUGGGAAACUGGGUCUAAUACCGGAUAGGACCGACCUUUAGUGUGUGUGGUGGAAAGUUUUUUCGGCGUAGGAUGAGCCCGCGGCCUAUCAGCUUGUUGGUGGGGUAAUGGCCUACCAAGGCGGCGACGGGUAGCCGGACGGAGAGGUUGGUCGGCCACAGUGGGACUGAGAGGCGGCCCAGACUCCGACGCGAGGCAGCAGGGGGGAAGAUUGCACCAUGGGCGCAAGCCUGAUGCAGCGACGCCGCGGUGGGGAGGACGGCCUUCGGGUUGUAAACGCCUUUCGCCAGGGACGAAGCGUUUUGUGACGGUACCUGGAGAAGAAGCACCGGCUAACUACGUG
This 463-nucleotide ribosomal RNA is filed under the name uncultured bacterium. RNAcentral's name for it is "partial 16S ribosomal RNA". It matches the Rfam family "Bacterial small subunit ribosomal RNA", at positions 28 to 507 of the family's 1533-position model. The record is from RNAcentral.